Long non-coding RNA from Chiroxiphia lanceolata (lance-tailed manakin), 445 nucleotides. RefSeq lists it as uncharacterized. The record is from RefSeq and is a predicted model, not a curated record. Lineage: Eukaryota; Metazoa; Chordata; Aves; Passeriformes; Pipridae. The transcript is spliced from 3 exons.
GUGUUUCUCCCUGUAAUAUUUCUUAGUUUAUUUUAUUAUUAAUUCUGGAAAAGAUGGAGUCUUUAUUCUUGAUGAAUCAUGAGAGAGACAACUUCUGCGAAGGACCAAUGAAGUGAAGCUCUGAAGAGAAGGCACUACAAGUUCCUGUGAAUAGUAGGAAUGCCCAGGCUACCACUGGAUUGCUGUACUUUCUCUUUUGUGAACCUUCCAAUUGUAACAUCAAGUGAAGGCAGAAUACCAUAGCUUGAAGCUACCCAAAACAUCAAGAGAGGAGCAAAGAAAGAGAAGCAGAGGGAGCAAGAAGUAAGAAGGAGAAAGAGGGAGAGACAGAUUAUGCAGCUACCAUUGGAACCUUGCGGAAGACCAGCUCACAAGUCCAAUGGCAGGGCUGAGACACGAGGUAAACACAUGCCUUUGGUUUUAUCUGCUCUGGUCCCUAUGGUCA